AUUGAACGCUGGCGGCGUGCUUAACACAUGCAAGUCGAUCGGUAACGCGGGGGCAACCCUGGCGACGAGAGGCGGACGGGUGAGGAACGCUUGGGAAUCUGCCUAUCAGCGGGGGACAACCCGGGGAAACUCGGGCUAAUACCGCAUACGCUCUACGGAGGAAAGCCGGGGACCGCAAGGCCUGGCACUGAUAGAUGAGCCCAAGUCGGAUUAGCUAGUUGGCGGGGUAACGGCCACCAAGGCGACGAUCCGUAGCUGGUCUGAGAGGACGAUCAGCCACACUGGGAAUGAGAAAAGGCCCAGACUCCUAAGGGAGGCAGCAGUGGGGAAUAUUGGACAAUGGGGGAAACCCUGAUCCAGCGACGCCGCGUGGGUGAAGAAGGCCUGCGGGUUGUAAAGCCCUUUCGGUAGGGACGAAAGCUCUCGACCUAACACGUCGGGAGGUUGACUUAACCUACAAAAGAAGCACCGGCUAACUCUGUGCCAGCCGCCGCAGUAA
This 499-nucleotide ribosomal RNA is filed under the name uncultured bacterium. RNAcentral describes it as "partial 16S ribosomal RNA". It matches the Rfam family "Bacterial small subunit ribosomal RNA", at positions 29 to 523 of the family's 1533-position model. The record is from RNAcentral.